GGAGAUUUAGCUCAGUGGUAGAGCGCUUGCCUAGGAAGCGCAAGAAUUUUUUAAAUAAAUAAUUUUUA
This 68-nucleotide transfer RNA is filed under the name Rattus norvegicus (Norway rat). It matches the Rfam family "tRNA". Rfam says of the family: Transfer RNA (tRNA) molecules are approximately 80 nucleotides in length. Their secondary structure includes four short double-helical elements and three loops (D, anti-codon, and T loops). The record is from Rfam by way of RNAcentral. Lineage: Eukaryota; Metazoa; Chordata; Mammalia; Rodentia; Muridae.